RNAcentral lists this ribosomal RNA (899 nucleotides) under uncultured archaeon. Its description in RNAcentral is "bacterial SSU rRNA". It matches the Rfam family "Archaeal small subunit ribosomal RNA", at positions 5 to 879 of the family's 1478-position model. The record is from RNAcentral.
CGGUUGAUCCUGCCGGACCCUACUGCUAUCGGGGUGGGACUAAGACAUGCGAGUUGAGCGUCUCUAAGCUAUGGUAGAGACGCGGCGUACGGCUCAGUAACACGUGGCUAACCUACCCUUAGGACGGGGAAAACCCCGGGAAACUGGGGCUAAUACCCGAUAGGCGAGGAGGCCUGGAAUGGUUCCUAGUCGAAAAGGCGUUGAAACCAUGCUUUUCGACGUCGCCUAAGGAUGGGGCCGCGCCCGAUCAGGUUGUUGGUGGGGUAACGGCUCACCAAGCCUAUAACCGGUACGGGCCGUGAGAGCGGGAGCCCGGAGAUGGGCACUGAGACAAGGGCCCAGGCCCUACGGGGCGCAGCAGUCGCGAAAACUCCGCAAUGCGCGAAAGCGUGACGGGGCUACCCCGAGUGCCGUCCGCUGAGGAUGGCUUUUCCUCGGUGUAAUGAGCCGGGGGAAUAAGGAGAGGGCAAGUCUGGUGUCAGCCGCCGCGGUAAUACCAGCUCUCCGAGUGGUAGGGAUGAUUAUUGGGCUUAAAGCGUCCGUAGCCGGCUUAGCAAGUCUCCUGUUAAAUUCAGCGACCUAAUCGUUGAGCCGCGGGAGAUACUACUAGGCUAGGAGGCGGGAGAGGCCGACGGUAUUCUCGGGGUAGGGGUGAAAUCCUAUAAUCCCGGGAGGACCACCAGUGGCGAAGGCUGUCGGCUAGAACGCGCUCGACGGUGAGGGACGAAAGCUGGGGGAGCGAACCGGAUUAGAUACCCGGGUAGUCCCAGCUGUAAACGAUGCGGGCUAGGUGUUGGGGUGGCUACGAGCCACUUCAGUGCCGCAGGGAAGCCAUUAAGCCCGCCGCCUGGGGAGUACGGCCGCAAGGCUGAAACUUAAAGGAAUUGGCGGGGGAGCAC